AAUAGAUACCCAGGUAGUCCAGCCUUAAACGACUGCAUACUAGAUGUAGGGAGGCUCGAACCCUUUCUGUAUCGGAGUUAACGCAUUAAGUAUGCCGCCUGGGGAGUACGCUCGCAAGGGUGAAACCCAAAAGAAUUGACGGGGGCCCGCACAAGCAGCGGAGCGUGUGGUUUAAUUCGUCGCAACGCGAAGAACCUUACCAGGGCUUGACAUGUGGCGGAAAACGGCGGAAGCGUCGUCCUCCCGCAAGGGACCGUCAUGCAGGUGUUGCAUGGCUGUCGUCAGCUCGUGUCGUGAGAUGUUGGGUUAAGUCCCGCAACGAGCGCAACCCCCGCGGCAUGUUGUAUCUCUCAUGCCAGACUGCCGAGAGAAACUCGGAGGAAGGUGGGGAUGACGCCAAGUCAGCAUGGCCCUUACGUCCUGGGCUACACACACGCUACAAUGGCCGGUACAACGGGUUGCCAAACCGCGAGGUGGAGCUAAUCCCUUAAAGCCGGUCUCAGUUCGGAUUGCAGGCUGCAACUCG
RNAcentral lists this ribosomal RNA (526 nucleotides) under uncultured bacterium. RNAcentral's name for it is "bacterial SSU rRNA". It matches the Rfam family "Bacterial small subunit ribosomal RNA", at positions 777 to 1314 of the family's 1533-position model. The record is from RNAcentral.